Molecule: ribosomal RNA, 433 nt
Filed under: uncultured bacterium
Lineage: Bacteria
Description: partial 16S ribosomal RNA
Rfam family: Bacterial small subunit ribosomal RNA
Source: RNAcentral
AACGAACGCUGGCGGCAUGCCUAACACAUGCAAGUCGAACGAGACCUUCGGGUCUAGUGGCGCACGGGUGCGUAACGCGUUGGAACCUGCCCUUAGGUUCGGAAUAACUCCCCGAAAGGGGUGCUAAUACCGGAUAAUGUCUUCGGACCAAAGAUUUAUCGCCUUUGGAUGGGCCCGCGUUGGAUUAGCUAGUUGGUAGGGUAAAAGCCUACCACGGCGACGAUCCAUAGCUGGUCUGAGAGGAAGAUCAGCCACACUGGGACUGAGACACGGCCCAGACUCCUACGGGAGGCAGCAGUGGGGAAUAUUGGAAAAUGGGCGAAAGCCUGAUCCAGCAAUGCCGCGUGAGUGAUGAAGGCCUUAGGGUUGUAAAGCUCUUUUACACGGGAUGAUAAUGACAGUACCGGGAGAAUAAGCUCCGGCUAACUCCGUG